Molecule: ribosomal RNA, 322 nt
Filed under: uncultured eukaryote
Lineage: Eukaryota
Description: partial 18S ribosomal RNA
Rfam family: Eukaryotic small subunit ribosomal RNA
Source: RNAcentral
CCCUUAGAUGUUCUGGGCCGCACGCGCGCUACAAUGGUCUUCGCAAACGGAUGCAUUCUCGAAGGAGAAUGCCAAUCUUGGAAUCUAUGCCUUGGUCGGGACAGUUGCUUGCAAUUUUUCGACUCGAACCAGGAAUUCCUUGUAAUCGUGAUUCAUCACAUCACGAUGAAUACGUCCCUGCCCUUUGUACACACCGCCCGUCGCACCUACCGAUUGGAUGGUCCGGUGAAGCCUCGGGAUUGUGGUUCUUGCCGCUUUAUUGUGGCGUGACCGCGAGAACUUGUCUAAACCUUAUCAUCUAGAGGAAGGUGAAGUCGUAACA